This 9380-nucleotide long non-coding RNA is filed under the name Cucumis sativus (cucumber). Its description in RNAcentral is "long non-coding RNA (CSAT_LNC000035)". Lineage: Eukaryota; Viridiplantae; Streptophyta; Magnoliopsida; Cucurbitales; Cucurbitaceae. The record is from RNAcentral.
CUUCAGAAGUUACUGCUGAUGAUUUCUUCUUUGAUGGAUUGAGCAAAGAAGGCAACACAGACAAUCCUUUUGGUUUUGGGGUCACACAAGGAAAUGUUCUUACAUUUCCAGGACUCAAUACACUUGGGCUAUCCAUGAACCGUGUUGACCUUGCUCGGGGAGGAAUAAACGCACCUCACUCACAUCCCCGUGCCACUGAAAGUAUCGUUGUUAUUAAAGGGAAGGUUCUUGUUGGUUUUGUGUCAACGAGUAGUGUGUACUACUAUAAGGUUUUGACUGUUGGACAGAUGUUCGUUGUUCCCAGAGGACUUGUUCAUUUCCAAUAUAAUGUUGGGCAUGGGAAAGCAACUCUGAUCACAGCUUUCAACAGUCAGUUGCCGGGGGCUGUGGUCGUGUCCCGAACUUUGUUCGCUUCAAAUCCUCCCCUCCCUGUCGAAAUUCUAACCAAGGCCUUCCAAGUCGAUGCUAGUGUUAUCAACAGCAUAAAGUCCAAAUUUGCUUAAUUUCACUCAGUUUGUCAAAUUUACUGAAUAUUGAUACUUUUCUGCACAAUAAUUUCAUUCAUAGUCUUGAAUAUGAAUGAAUUAGCCUUACGGAUUGGAAGGUAGAGUCAUGUGAGAAUCUUUUGUAUUAUUCAUCUGUUCUUGAUACUUGCACAUCUGUUGUUCAGUGAAAUGUCAGUAUAAUAGAAUAACGUAUUAAAUUAAAUAAACAAACAAACCACUUUAUUUAUUUAAUUCCAUUAUUAUAAUUCGUUCUUUUUUACAUCAUCUGGUAUCGUAUGCUCGAGAAUAGAAUAAUGUGCUAGGUGUCAAAAUCCCAGUCCUUCAUUAAGCCCUAAACAUUUUAGAAAAAUAUAAAUGUUAUGUAACGUUCUAGAUCCAUGAUUUAAAUUUUGGAACCAUGGUCGGACAUUUCCAUAUAUCUUUCUAACAAGAUUUCUUUGAAGGCCGCCCUAACAUAAAGUUCUCAAAAUAAAUAGUCAUAAAAUUCAUCCACUAAAAAAGGAAACGAAAAAUAAUGCACACCUUGUUAGUAUUAGAUAGUAGUUAUCGAUUCUUUUUAGUAUUUCUUGAUCAUACUUUGAUAUCUUUCGGAUGUUUUUUGUUUAGAUGUUGUUUUGAUUCAUUUAUGUGCACCUUUUAAAUUUUGGGAUUACAUGUUAUUUGAACUUCUAAGCCAUGCAAUAAAAUUCUAUGCUGCUAGCCUCGGGUUUCGUAUUGGGUCAAAAGGGAUGGUUUUAGCCUUUAAGUGGAUAAGAAAAAAAAAAUGAAAAAAUCGUUUAAAAAAAAGGAUUUUUUUUUGUAUUUUUAAAAACAACAAAAUAAAUUAAAAUAUUUACAUGCUAUAACAAAAUUUUGGAUUCCAUCAAUAAUAGCUAGAAAUAAACUUUUACCGCUAGAAGCAUAUCAUACCAGUGACUAUUAAUGUCUAUUGAUAGAAUUUGAAAAUUUUGGUAUAUGUUAUCAACAUUUUGUCAAAUUUGACAUUUUUGACAAAUUUUUUUUUCAAAAGUAGAAAAAUUGACAAACUAUUUAUACUAUAUAGAACAAAACCACUAAAAAAUUCAUAUACAUUUGAUUUUUUUGUGUACAAACACAUAUUUGUCAAAUGUUAUAUUUUUUACAAUUUUCCUACCAAAAUGAAAUUGAUUUGAUAUGGCGUUCCGUCAUGAAACGUAAUAUAUAUAUAUUUCAUAAAUGGUAUUAUUCAUAGAAGAAAAUAAAAGUUGAUACUGUCGAGGAGUUUGUUAAAAAGAAAAUUCUUAAAAAAGAAAAAAGGAAAAAGACAAAAAAGGACAAAACGGAAAAAUGCAAAGAGAACUGAAAAAAGGCAAAAGAGCCUUGCAACGUGUUGGCAGAUGAUUGGGCCAGAUGGGGCUGCAGAAGCUGGCUGCAGCUCUCCAUUUGUACUGUCUUUUCAAAGUUUGAAUGUUUGUUUAUAGAUAAAGAUUGGGCAUGGGUUGUUCUCUUAAGCUCUUACCCUAUAUGGAAGUUCUUUUGUUGGGACCAUUGAACAUUGUAAUUAUGUUAACAAUAUUGGAUCAAAGUCGGCAACUAAUUCUUAUUUAAAGUGAUCUUCUUUUCCUUGUCCCUUUCUUUUACUAGUUGUUAGUACACAAAUGACAGUAUAAAAGUUCGUAUAAAUUAAUAUCAAAUUCAGUUCUCUUUCUAUUACUUGUUAACUGAGGCUUGAGAUUAUUCGGUUAAAUUUCAAUAUUUAAAGCUCUCAACUCUCUUAUGUUCGAGGCAUUUAACUAAAAAACUUUAGUUAGUAAAUUCAUCCCCUGGAGAAGAAAAGCUCAUGAAGUUGUGUUUAUUGAUAGCGGUUAUUGAAUUUAACAAGUAAAAACUAGAGAAACUUAUGUUUAACUUCCUUGACAGUUUUGUUUAAGAAGGAUCAAAAGACUAAAAAUGUUUUAAAGUAUGUAACGUGUAUCCGAGUCUAUCGUGACAUAGAUAGUAGUGUAUCGAUAAAUAGUAAAAUAUAACAUAAUAUUUUGUUUUAUUUUAAACCAAAUCUUUGUUUAAUAUAAGUUUAUUUUAUGUUAUAUCCAUUACGGCUAAUGUUAAUCCUUUAGGAUUCUUAUACCUUAAACAAAAGUAACUUUAACCUAUAUAUAAUUUUAUUUGGUUAUAAGCGAUGCGUUUGGUUUGACUUUCGAACUACUUAUAAACACUCAGAAAGUCAAUCUAAAUUAGCUACGAUAUAAAAAAAUUGAUAAGUCGAUAAGUAAACAUUUUUUCAUAAAAACCCUAAACAGAAUCUUUCCUUUUGACCAUAGACAUAAGACAUGACGUAUGGAAAGUACAUAGUAAAGAACAAAAUCAAAACUAAACAAACUCUUGUACCCCAAACUAAUCAACAAUCCAACCUAGUCUUCACAAAUUUUUUGUAUUUUCUGACUUUGUCAAUAAUCUUAGUUCUUAGCUUUUUAUUAUUUGUAACGUCUUACUUAGUAAGUCUCGCCAAUUAUUAGAUCAUGAUCCCCUUCAUGCAAUUUUUUCCAUUCACAUGAUUUUACUUAACAAAAAAGAUUCUUAGUCGGCACCCAAACUUUCCUACAACUAUAUAUUGAACUCAAAUUCUCUACUUCCCUUAACCAACUCUUCAGUACUCAACUUAACAGUACAAAAGUACUUUUCUUUACCAUGUUCAAACUCAUUUUACACACCAUGCUCCUAGUUUCCUUCAUUUUCCUUAUCCUUCUUCCUCAUCCUUCCUCGUCAACCGAUCCCGACCCGUUGCAAGAUUUCUGUGUUGCUGAUCUAAAUGCAACUGUUUCUGUUACUGGAUUCCCCUGCAAACCAAUUUCUGAAGUUACUGUUGAUGACUUCUUUUAUGAUGGUUUAAGCAAAGAAGGCAACACAAAGAAUCCAUUUGGUUUUGGUCUUACACCAGGAAAUGUUCAUGCAUUGCCUGGACUUAAUACACUCGGUUUAUCGAUGAAUCGUAUCGAUCUUGCUCCCGGUGGAAUGAACCCUCCUCAUUUGCAUCCUCGAGCCUCCGAAAUCGUUAUCGUCCUUAAAGGGAGGGUUCUUGUUGGAUUUUUGACAGUUGAUAAUGUGUAUUAUCAUAAGGUUUUGAAGGUUGGGGAGCUGUUUAUCAUUCCUAGAGCACUAGUGCAUUUUCAGUAUAAUGUUGGACGUAAGAAAGCAGUUGUGCUUGCAGGUUUCAAUAGUCAGUUGCCAGGAGGCGUGCUCGUCGCCGGGAAUUUGUUCGCUUCGAAUCCUCCAAUUCCCAAUAAAAUUCUGUCUAAGGCUUUACAAGUCAAUGACGAUGUUGUCAAAACCAUCAAGUCCGAUUUUAUUCUUUAGGCAUGUCACUCAAGUUUGGAUUUACUUGUGAAGGCAUUUUUGGGAGUGAUUUUAAAAAUGUUAAAAUUAUUUUUUUCAUAUUCAAAAUGAUUUUUUUAAUAACUCAAAAUCAAAUAUGUUGUAUUAAAGUGAUGUUAUUUUGAAAGAAUGAAAGAUUAUUUUUUAGUGUUUUUAACUAUCUUAAAAUUACUCUCAAACAUACCUUUCGUUUUUAUUAUCAGUUUGUUCAUUGCACAAUAAUCACAUUCAUGAUCUUGAAUGUGAAUGAAUUAGUUUUACUGCUUACGAAGUCAUGUGAUUAAUACUUUUAUGUAAAUAUAUUAAGUAUUUGGAUUGUAAAGAUAAUGGAACAUUGUGUUAAGCAAACAAAUACACCCAUUUAUAGUUCUUCCUUUUGCAUCAUAUGUAUUAUUGUAUCAUAUUGUAAAGAAAAAUUGAAAAUAUCGAAGCCUUAAUUUGUUGGAAGUAUCAUAAUAUUUAUGAAAAUGAACGAAAGUUAAUGAAACUUUGACUGUGACUUAAUUAAAAUAAAGAUAACAUCUAGACACAUAUUGUAAAUGCUAAAUAUAUGUGUAAAUAUCGAUGCAAGAACAAAAAAUUUAAAAAAAAUUACAAAAAGAUAUUAAAUAUUGGAUGAUAAAAGAAACAAAACUCACGUCAAUUCAACUUUAGAGUGAAAUGAUGUGAAAAUUCUAUUUGUUUUUUUGAAAAUGAAAGUUUUGGAUUGACCCUAAAGUUAAAAAUUGCAAAAAAAUAAUAUAUUGAAAAAACUGAAUAUUGGAAAGAAAAUAACAAAAGCAUCUCAAGAAUAAUUUAGAGAUAUAUGAGCAAUAUUUUGAGAUUAUAACAACUAUAUUCCGCCGUUAAUCGAUAGAUUGUUGAUAAUCAUCACCAAUGAAUUAUGAAUUUUAGAGAAAAACAAUAUUACACACCAAUAUUUGUAUUGGUCAAAUAUUUUGGUGAUAUUUCGACAAAAUAACACAAUAUUUUAUCAUUCCUUAGAGAUGACAUUGAAAUUCGAAACUAUGUAUUUGAUGUGUGAUAAAAAACCAAGACCAUAAACUUGAAUGAAUUGAGCUAUCAAUCAAAUUCUAAACUAAAACAAAAACUAUACAAAAGUUUAUUGAAGUGAAGAAAAACAAAAUUAUCCCCUAAUAAAAUCUCAAUUAUCUUCCUCCAAAAUUUAAUUUUACACCAUGUUCUUGAGAAUGGAAGAAAGUGCAAGGUGUCAAACCACCACUGGCCUAUCAAUUUGCACAAACUAUAGACAUUUUCUAGACAAUCUUUCGGAUCAAAUAAUCAGAGAGAGAGAGAGAGAAUAUAUCUUUGGAUUCAUCAAGUCCAUUUAGGCAGUAAACAGGAUUAAGAGCAGUAAUGGAAGCUUAGUAGGUUUUUUCUCCAGUACAACUGCAGUCCAGAUUUAUCAGUCAGUAAGUUACAAAUUGGAAGUAGGUUCAAUUUCUGUAGAUGAUACAAGUAAUUGAGCGUUCCAAUUAUAUCGAAUGGUCCCUAAGGGGAAUAAUACAAGUAUUUUAUACUAAAUGAUCAAACAUAUAUAUAUAUAUAUAUAUAAUAUAUAUAUAUCUACUGAACUAAAUAAUGAGGAAGCCAAAUCAAUUUUGACAUUUGAUUAUAAGAAGCCUAUUGAGAUCUAAGACGUUCUUUCAAAACCUCCACCGAUUUGCAUAUGCAACCAUUCAGUUUGUGCACCUUGGGUAUAAUCUCUUGCUGCUUGUGAACCAUAUAAUAUUCCAGCUGCAUCAUAUGGUUGAUUAACGAUCUGAAAUGUCAGAUAAGAGAGUUAAGAAAUAAUUCAAUCGCAACAGAUUUCUACAAAAUGAAAGUUGUUCUAGGAGCGUGUUAAGAACAUCUGAAGAGGGAGAGAGGCCGGAGGAGAGUUGAGUGACUAGCUUAAGCUCCCCACAACUAAUCUCACAAGACAAUUUGACCCUACAACAUUUGGGUAUCCUUUUAACCUCUUUUAUAUCCUGAAUUUUUUGAGUGAAGCCAAUUUAACUAAGAAUAAGAUAAGAAACCUUCAAGAUUAUGGAUUGGCCCACUAUUAAAAUAAAUGUUUAAAGAUGGCGAUAGCAACUUGAAACUAUACCAUUGGAACCAACGUGAAGUCGCCAACUACGUUAAUUACCAAAUAAAUCAUAUGCCCCUCAUGCACACAAGCGAGAUACCUUUGGUGCAAAAAAUUAUAAACAUAAAGCCCACAAAGAAACAGCCAGCCAAGUUUAAAUUUGUGGAUGUUGUGGUGAAAAGAAGCAAUCAAAACUGGGCAUCUACCUGUUUCCUACGCUAUUUUGAAAUUAGAGUUUUAAGAAGUAGUAUGCCACAUUAAAUGCUUUUCAUCUAGAUAAGAUGGCCAAUCAGCAAUGGCUAACCGACUCCUUUUUGUAUUGCUUUUCUCUUGAUACAUGAAAUGAGAAUCAGACUUACAUUUUUUACAGUAAAACCUUCAAUGCCAGGGGUUAUGUUCAUCCUGGAAUUCACAGCUUCAAGUUUCAUGGAGAGGAACUACAAAUUUGAGCCAGAUGUACAAAGCUCAGAUUAAAUAAGAAAUAGUUUUGAAUAAAAAAGAAAAAGUCAGGAUUAGAGUAUAUACCUCGACCUGACGUUGCAGUGAUUGGAUAUAAUUUAUUAUCUCAUCAAGGACAAGUGCUUUUCCAAUAACCUAACAGGUAGGAAGAACAUGCAUGUGCAAGAAAAAUUAUAAUUUGAACUUGAUUUUCAAUACGACUGCAACCAAACUCAAAAUUAACAUCCCCCCAAUUCUUAGGAAAAUUCAUCCCUGAACCACUAGAAUAAUGACAAUUUAAUCUCCGGAUUUCUAAUUUGAUCACUCUUGUCCUUCAACAUGACUAAUUGUUUAUGUUACGAUGUAUCAUGCCCCCACUAACAUCAUCAACUUUUCCAUUAACAUUGGCCUUUUUCCUGGGGUAAAAAUUACAAUUAAUGAAAGCUCAGAGACAUUGAUCUUUGUUGUAGUGCUCUGCUCUUAAUUUUUUUAGAUCACUCCCACUGAACCACUCUCAAAUUUUCCUCUCAAUAGUUAUUUUUCUCAGUGACUUCAUUGCAUGCCGCUGUUCUCAUUUCUUUUUUUCUCUUUAACUCCCAAAUUUGCUGCUUCCUCCUCUUCUUACACAGUUUUUCUCUCUGACUUUACAGACAUCGAAAGAAUGAAGAAUGUACUGGCUUUGAAGGAAAGCUUAUUGGAUAUAGUGGUAGUGGCUGUGUUGCAACCAUCACUCAUGUUUAGGCGUAAAAUUGACCAACCCCUUCCCUCUCACAUCUUAGAUCAAUUAAAUCUAGCGUUUAGGAGAGAGAGUGGUCAUCUUCUCACAUAAGCUCCUCCAAUAAGUUUCCAGGUGUUUAGCACUUGAAAUGGCAGGGAUUACAUUGCAGUAAUUUGAUUGGCCUUAAAAUUGAUCAAGUUAGAAGUCAGAAAUCUAAAUUUUACCUACUCUUACAGUUCAGGGUUGUUUCCAGAAAUCUAAAUUGUACCUAAUCUUACAGUUCAGGGUUGUUUUUUUAAACUUUCUCCCAAUAGCUAUUUACACACAAAGUAACAGAUAAAGAGUACCUUGUUACAACCUGGAACCAAGUCCUGCAAAAUUUUCAUUCUCUCACUGAUCUUCUCUCUUCUAGCCUGCACAUAAGGCUAUAGUAAGGCAAACAGGCAAAAAUUUGGGAGUAAGGGAUAAUGGACAUAUAAACAGUCCAAAUCUCCACCAGAAACUUGAAGCUAUUAGAAAAAAUGGUAAGAACUAUCUGAUAAAUGAUUGAGAUAUUCAAAUCCCAAACAACUGAGAGGAGUACAUUACUCUUUCUGCUAAACUAUGGCUAUCAGUAGCUUGGCCCCUUCUUGCUCUGACAUGGAUGUAAUCUUUUGGUGGUUCGGGUUUCGGGCUUUGCUCGGCCAGCUUCUUACCAUCUGAUGAGUUAGGAUCUACUUCAGCUUUUAUACCACCAUUUUCAUCUCUGGAUUCCACUACUUUCAUCCGUUUAUCAUUUGAAUUACUCUGUAUGAAAUGGAACGUACAAAAUAAAUUGGCGAUUACUACCUUGAUCAAUAAGUCAAAGAUUUGACAACUGAUUGAAAAUUUUAAAUACAACGUGCUUAAAUGUAAUUAGCCAGUGUCGAGAUAUAUGAUCACUGCAUACAUCAAUGGGCAAGUCAAGUUUCUUGAUAAUCUUGGAACAACAAUAAUGGUUAUAUAAAGAUUAAUAGCUGUUUUCUCUUCAAUGGGAGCUCCUCCCUUCAAAAAAGAAAGAAAAAGAGUUCCAUCUUUUAAAAGUGAAACACCGAACAAACAGUAUACAAAUUUGACCAGUAUCAUUUUUGUCCAAAACUGGGUCAACGUAGCCAAAUUGAGAGCAAAAGGGAAAAAUGAGAAAGAAAACAAAAAAAACUAACCAAUUGAUUAGCACUACUAGUGGAAACCAUUCUCGAAGAUUCAUCUUCAGAGCUCACAUCCUUCCUCUUCCUCCCACCGCCACUCUGCUCCGUCACUGUCGAUUCUUCCAUUGACCCAUCACGAUUCGUGGAGCACUCACGAAACCCACCAAGAUUCUGAGCCAAAUUAGCCAUUCGAAGCCCCAAUACACUCCCACCCUGGUCCCCCCCAAAAGGCCAAAUCGAAGCCAAGCUGUAAGAAGAAGGAUUCGCAGCAGAAAAGGAGGAUUCGUUAACAAGGGGAGGAUCCAUUUCCGCUGACCCAAAUGACCCAGAAGCAGUAAUUCACAAGGGAUCAAAAUCAAAUGUCAAUGUGGGACUAGCGGAGAGGAAUCGAAGAGGUUUGGGGUAUGAAUUUGAAGAUGGGGAUUCAGAAUUGGAGUCAAAGUGUAGGUAGUGAAGACGUUAUUUAUGAAGCUACUUUGGGGAAGGGAAGAGAAGGGAUUGGGUUUUGGGAUGGGGUCCGAGAGAAGCUUUGCUAUGCGACGAGAAGGAGAGAGAUACUGUGAUCUUUUUAGGCAGUGGCGCACACUGUGCUACGAGCUUCCAUUUCUCUCACUCGCCUGUAAUUUUUGACUCAAAGGAAGAGUGAAAAGAUAGAAGCUUUUAUGAGGCUAAAAAUUCCAUCUCACUUCUCUAAUGUUUAUUUCAUAUACACUAUUUUUAAAAUUUAAAAUAUUACCCUUCACAUUUCAAAGAACAAACUCAACCUUAUUUUUAGUUUAACUUUUUAAGCUAUGUUUUAUCAAAAGGUUGGAUGAAAUAAAUUAAAAGAAAUAUGAGUUUGUAGGACACAUGACUUAAAAAAGAAACAUUCAAAACCUUAGAAUUUUGGAUGAAAACUAUCCCAUAAAUGUUUGACAAUUCAAAUUUGUGUUUUAGAUCAAUAUUAGUUGAAACUUAAUUACAACCCAUAAAAAUUAUAGGUAUUUUAUGAGCAUCCGACUCUCAACACAACAUAUAUUUUAAAAUUUUGUGAAAGUUUUAAUAGUAAAACCGUUCUUGACAUACUUACCCAAAACCUUUACAGUACACAUUUUGCCACGGACAUCCUAAUCCAUUUCAUUUCGAUAUUUAAUUUAAAUUUGGGAUAACUAUAU